This 256-nucleotide ribosomal RNA is filed under the name uncultured bacterium. RNAcentral's name for it is "partial 16S ribosomal RNA". It matches the Rfam family "Bacterial small subunit ribosomal RNA", at positions 57 to 305 of the family's 1533-position model. The record is from RNAcentral.
GCAAGUCGAGGGGCAGCAUUAACUUAGCUUGCUAAGUUUGAUGGCGACCGGCGCACGGGUGAGUAACACGUAUCCAACCUGCCGAUGACUCGGGGAUAGCCUUUCGAAAGAAAGAUUAAUACCCGAUGGCAUAGUUCUUCCGCAUGGUAGAACUAUUAAAGAAUUUCGGUCAUCGAUGGGGAUGCGUUCCAUUAGCUUGUUGGCGGGGUAACGGCCCACCUAACCGACGAUGCGUAGGGGUUCUGAGAGGAAGGUC